Non-coding RNA from Cinara cedri, 247 nucleotides. The record is from the annotation of a GenBank genome assembly. NCBI's taxonomy places the organism in Eukaryota, Metazoa, Arthropoda, Insecta, Hemiptera, Aphididae.
AGUUUUAGACGCGUUCUCAAAGUGGUUAGAGGUGAAAGAGAUGAGAAGUAUUACGGCGAGCAAUACUAUUAUCGAAUUACGCGAGAUAUUUAGUAGAUGGGGGUUACCUUUAACAUUAGUGUCGGAUAACGGCGCUCAAUUAACGUCACACGAAUUUACUACGUUUUUAAAAAGUAAUGGCAUAGUACAUUUGCGUACAGCCCCGGGACACCUUGCUACAAACGGUGCGGCUGAAAAUGCAGUGAAA